RNAcentral lists this ribosomal RNA (253 nucleotides) under uncultured bacterium. Its description in RNAcentral is "partial 16S ribosomal RNA". It matches the Rfam family "Bacterial small subunit ribosomal RNA", at positions 524 to 776 of the family's 1533-position model. The record is from RNAcentral.
UACGUAGGGGGCAAGCGUUGUCCGGAAUCAUUGGGCGUAAAGAGCGUGUAGGCGGCCCGGUAAGUCCGCUGUGAAAUCUCGAGGCUCAACUUCGAGCUGUCGGUGGAAACUAUCUGGCUAGAGUCCGGAAGAGGAGAAUGGAAUUCCUGGUGUAGCGGUGAAAUGCGCAGAUAUCAGGAAGAACACCCGUGGCGAAGGCGGUUCUCUGGGACGGUACUGACGCUGAGACGCGAAAGCGUGGGGAGCGAACAGG